GUAUGGUCUAGUGAUUAGACCCAUUGGCGCCGCCACGAGUUUUUUCCGCGACUUUGCGGUAUCGUAAUGUAAAGGUGAAUUCGGUGGAUUUACCGGGCGCGUGAUCAUUAUAGUUUACUCGUGUUUUGUUUCAUUCAAACGAUUGAAGUUGGUUGAAUAUAACAGUUAUAAUCCAAUCCUUGAUGUCUGCCCAGACGGCGUUUGUUGUAUCCCGAGGAAUGUUUCAAUAAUGGCUCGCCCUGUAGGCCAAUCGGUUCUAACGGAUAACGGAUUUAUUACACGGACUUGCAUCUGUCGUGCCCCGAUGAAUACGCUGGAAAUUGCUGAUGAUUUUAGUUUUAUUACAAGGAUGGUAACUGUUGUGCUCUGAUGACCGCGCUGGAGAUUGUUGAUAGUUUUAGUUUUAAUGCGCGGAAGGAGUAUGUUGUAUCCUGAGGAAUGCUUCAAUUAUGGCUCGGCCUAUGGACCAAUUGGGGUUCUAAUGGAUAACGGAUUUAUUACAAGGACUGUGCUACCAUUGUGGUUCCAGUAUAACGACUAAGCUAGAGAUUCAUGGCAGUCAUCGUUAUUGGAUUUAUUGCACCGAUGGCGUUUGUCGUGUGCCCGGAGGACUGCUUCGAUAAUGAGAGUGCUGGCUCUAACGAUCUAACAAACGGAUUUAUUAACACGGUUUUUAGACGGCGUUUGUUGCGUCCCAAGGUGGUAUGCUUCCAUAACGGCUCGGCCUGUUGGCCAAAAGUGCUGGUUCUAAUGGAUAACGGAUUUAUUACACGGACUGCAUCUGUUGUGCCCGAAUGAAUAUUCUGAAAAUCGAUGCUAUUGGUUUAAGAUUUAUUACAAGGAUUAUAUCUGUUGUUCCCGUAUGAAUACGUUGGACACUGCUUGCUGUUGUCACUAUUGGAUUUAUAAUAACAAGGACUGCAACACUGUUGUGCCAGGAUAACUAAGUUAGAGAUCUAACUAAGUCAUCGCUAUUGGAUUUAUUGCACGGUCUGUGCAUCUGUUUUGCCUGAUUGACUGUGAUUGAGUUGCAACCAACCGACCCGAAGAGUGCUGGCUCUAAUUCAUAAUGGUUGUAUUACACAGAUUGUGCACGGUCUUUGGUAAAGCUACAAAAUUUUCACUUCUGUUGUUGUACUCACGACGUGUUGAUAAUUCUGUGCUGUUGGUUUACUUUUAUGCCUAUGCUUGCCCUCCCUCACUGUUCCUCCAAAACGAUCGCGUGUCAAACCUCGAUUCCAUUAGAUAUUGUCAUUCGACAACACGGAGGAUCAUCACGAUUACAACGUGCAAUUCGCUCUUGGAGUUCAUUGACAACGAUUAUUACUUAUUUAAAUUACAACGUAAUUCCUUUACCGCUAUUAUUGUAUCGGUUUACGUUUGAGUCUCUCAUUAAACCGUAUUUUUCUAAUAAUAAUUAUAUCUAUAUGUACUUGGAGUAUAUUACUUCAAUAACGACUAAAUUUUUUUAUGUGUGUGUGUGAUCAAGACAAUAAUAAAACAUUAAUUAA
Daktulosphaira vitifoliae (grape phylloxera) is the source of this 1511-nucleotide long non-coding RNA. RefSeq lists it as uncharacterized. The transcript is spliced from 14 exons. Lineage: Eukaryota; Metazoa; Arthropoda; Insecta; Hemiptera; Phylloxeridae. The record is from RefSeq and is a predicted model, not a curated record.